AAUUACUUUCCCUUCUUCUCUCCUUUUUAUAUUUCUCCAUUCAUUAUCUCUCUUUAUACCCCUUUACCAACCCCAUCAGAGUUGUACAAUAGAAUGCACGACAACAAACCUUCGAUCCUCAUCCCUCCACAGGCGAUAAUGGUUGUGGUGGAAUGUAUGGCAACAAAUCUGCUUUUCAUGACGGCAGUACACCUGUUGUACUUGAAGUCGCACAAACACACAACCACGAUAGGCGACACGUAGUGGCAUCGUCGUAGCUAAGCGUACGCCGCUCAUCAUUGUUAUUCUCACCGUUUGAAUUAGAGGCAGAUCGAAAUUUCCUUUCAUUGCUCAUUAGAGGCCUUCCAGCCGCCGGCUUUAUUUAUCUUUUUUUUUAUUCUAUAGUGGCAAGAGUUUUUGAAUAGAUUUGCAGUGUAUUGAGGUGGCGACUGUGGUGUAGGUGCAGGUGGCAGUAGCUAGUUUGGUUUUUUCUUUUUUUCUUUUUUAGGUGGCGGUGGUAGAGUGUUGAGGUGUAGAUAUAGGUGGUAGUAGAGGUGAAGGACAUAAUGGAUUUGAGGAGAUGGUGGAGGUGAUAAUGGUUGGUAUAGGCGUUGUUGAUGCAGUUGGAGGUUGUGGUAUUGGUGGUGGUAGUGUAGCUGUCGUAUUUGGAGGUAGUGUUGGUUGUCAUCAUUGUCGUUGCGAUGGUCUUGGCGAUAGUACUGCUAGAGGAAAUGGUAAGAUAGUGGUGGUCACAAAUUGUUUUGUUGAUUUUUACCAAUAAAUUGAUUAAUGUGUUACCAAUGAAAUAGAUAAAC
Molecule: long non-coding RNA, 794 nt
Filed under: Olea europaea (common olive)
Lineage: Eukaryota; Viridiplantae; Streptophyta; Magnoliopsida; Lamiales; Oleaceae
Description: long non-coding RNA (OEUR_LNC002295)
Source: RNAcentral